This is a long non-coding RNA of Mesocricetus auratus (golden hamster), 605 nucleotides long. RefSeq lists it as uncharacterized. NCBI's taxonomy places the organism in Eukaryota, Metazoa, Chordata, Mammalia, Rodentia, Cricetidae. The record is from RefSeq and is a predicted model, not a curated record. The transcript is spliced from 3 exons.
UGGACACGCAUCACACAACCCCAUGGGGAUAUCGUUCUCUCAUCCUCACAAGAUCUAUUGGAAUAAGAAGAUAGGAAAGGACAGCACAGCAUAUAUGUGGAAUUCUGCAGAAGCAAGUGUUAAUAUGUAGUUAGAUGCUCUCUUCAAGGGGGAUCUGAUCAAUGUCUCCCUAGGGAGUGUAAGGAUUAAUUAGCUGAAGUUUGUAGGCUCUUUGAAGCUAAAAAACACUGUGGAAGUGCUAAGCAUUAUCGUGGUAACUGGAGAGUGAGGCAGAAGUGAUUUGCAACAUCAUCAGUUCUUUGGAAUAAAUGAUGUCUCUCUACUGCUCUGUUGUCAGUGCCGAGCACCCGCGUCCACAGGAAAAGAUCUCCACCAAUUUCAGUUAUUGCUGCUGCUGCUGCUGCUCUGGAAUCCUGUUCCUAUUCAUUGUUCCUGCAUACAAGAACCUGGAAACCCAGAGGGUAGCUUCCAGACUCCAGCAACUUCCAGUUACAGCACUGCUGAAUUCAUAUAUCUGGGAAUGAAUUUUUUAAAUGGUUUUUAUCAGUGUAAAUGACAUCAAUUUAUAGAAAUUUUGUUAUUUAUUUCUAGUUAUUUUAUCUUUU